UGUAGCUUACGGGGGGCAGCAGUGAGGAAUAUUGGUCAAUGGUCGGGAGACUGAACCAGCCAAGCCGCGUGAGGGAUGAAGGUACAGAGUAUCGUAAACCUCUUUUGUCAGGGAACAAAGGCGGGGACGCGUCCCCGGAUGAGUGUACCUGAAGAAAAAGCAUCGGCUAACUCCGUGCCAGCAGCCGCGGUAAUACGGAGGAUGCGGUCGUUAUCCGGAUUUAUUGGGUUUAAAGUGUGCGCAGGCGGUCUGUUUAGUCAGCGGUCAAAGCCCGGGGGUCAACCCCGGCCCGCCGUUGAAACCGG
RNAcentral lists this ribosomal RNA (305 nucleotides) under uncultured bacterium. RNAcentral describes it as "bacterial SSU rRNA". It matches the Rfam family "Bacterial small subunit ribosomal RNA", at positions 333 to 636 of the family's 1533-position model. The record is from RNAcentral.